Non-coding RNA from Schistosoma haematobium, 48 nucleotides. The record is from Rfam. NCBI's taxonomy places the organism in Eukaryota, Metazoa, Platyhelminthes, Trematoda, Strigeidida, Schistosomatidae.
AUCCAGCUGACGAGUCCCAAAUAGGACGAAACAUGCGUCAAACUGGAU